RNAcentral lists this non-coding RNA (45 nucleotides) under Schistosoma margrebowiei. The record is from RNAcentral. Lineage: Eukaryota; Metazoa; Platyhelminthes; Trematoda; Strigeidida; Schistosomatidae.
AUUCAGGCGAUGAGUCCCAAACAGGAGGAAGCGCACGUCCUGGAU